GACAAGUUCGCCUGGCUGCCACUCGCAAGUGUGUGUCCCCCCAGCUGUACAACUGCUCCUCCUUCUGUCACCCAGUGGGUGGAGAGCUCAGUGCUGAACUGGGCAUCUGCCAGUGCCAGGAGUAUGUCUCAGCAGAAGAGCUCUGUGAUGCCCAGUGUCUGGCCAGGGCCCCCCAACUUUCCCUGGCCUGGGGUUCCAGCAGAGAGCUGAUCCUCAAUGUGAAGAGUGAGGCAGGAGACAGUGACCAGAGGAUCGCUCAGCCAGUCACUACCCUGUGUACCAGAUGCAGCAUCUGUUUAACAGCAACCCCCACUGGGACUUUGGGGCCUUCAGGAGACUCAGCCACCUGGUACAAGAGACUCACCUCAACUUCUCAAGGUUUGCCCACCAGUUCCUAGAUCCAGGCACAUAUGUGUUUCGAGACAAUGGACUGCCUGAAAGCGUCAUCGUGGUGCUGGUGAAGAAGAAAGGAGUGGCCUGUGAUCCCAGUCUAUCCCCCGUACAGCCCUCCUCCCCGUAUCAGCUUACCAGGCAUGGGGUUCUCAGGCACAGGCUGCCAAACCUGGGCCCAGACUGGGCAGUGAUCACAGGAGAGCCAUUCCCUGUGAAGAUCCUAGAGGACUUCAGCAUCCGUACCCUCUACGACAAGCUUGAGGACCAGAGCCUGCAUGUGGCAGCCCAGCUGAACAAGCACAGGAGUGAUGCACUAGCCUUCUACAGGGGUGCAAGCCAGCAGCUCCAGGGCCUCAAGGCUGCACUGCCAGUGUCUCACUCCUGGACUUUCAGCCAGAGCUUGACAGAGUGA
RNAcentral lists this long non-coding RNA (805 nucleotides) under Ursus maritimus (polar bear). RNAcentral's name for it is "lncRNA (ENSUMAG00000013936.1)". Lineage: Eukaryota; Metazoa; Chordata; Mammalia; Carnivora; Ursidae. The record is from RNAcentral.